This 177-nucleotide ribosomal RNA is filed under the name uncultured bacterium. RNAcentral describes it as "partial 16S ribosomal RNA". It matches the Rfam family "Bacterial small subunit ribosomal RNA", at positions 1324 to 1500 of the family's 1533-position model. The record is from RNAcentral.
AGCUGGAAUUGCUAGUAAUGGCAGGUCAGCAUACUGCCGUGAAUACGUUCCCGGGCCUUGUACACACCGCCCGUCACACCAUGAGAGUUGGGAAUACCCGAAGCCUGUGAGCCAACUUUAAAGAGGCAACAGUCGAAGGUAGAAUCAAUGAUUGGGGUGAAGUCGUAACAAGGUAUC